Molecule: ribosomal RNA, 879 nt
Filed under: uncultured Actinomycetes bacterium
Lineage: Bacteria; Bacillati; Actinomycetota; Actinomycetes
Description: bacterial SSU rRNA
Rfam family: Bacterial small subunit ribosomal RNA
Source: RNAcentral
AGAGUUUGAUUCUGGCUCAGGACGAACGUUGGCGGCGCGCUUAAUGCAUGCAAGUCGAGGGAGAACCAGUCGAUCCGUAAGGUUCGGCUGGGGAAACCGGCGAACGGGUGCGUAACACGUGAGGAACCUGCCCCGAAGACCGGGAUAGCCCGGGGAAACCCGGAUUAAUACCGGAUACCCUCUUUGGACCACAUGGUCCGUUGAGGAAAUGGUCUGCCGCUUCGGGAUGGCCUCGCGGCCUAUCAGCUUGUUGGUGAGGUAAUGGCUCACCAAGGCAGAGACGGGUAGCUGGUCUGAGAGGACGAUCAGCCACACUGGGACUGAGACACGGCCCAGACUCCUACGGGAGGCAGCAGCAGGGAAUAUUGCACAAUGGGCGAAAGCCUGAUGCAGCGACACCGCGUGCGGGAUGAAGGCCUUCGGGUUGUAAACCGCUUUCAGGAGGGACGAAAAUGACGGUACCUCCAGAAGAAGGCCCGGCCAACUACGUGCCAGCAGCCGCGGUAAUACGUAGGGGCCAAACGUUGUCCGGAUUUAUUGGGCGUAAAGGGCUCGUAGGCGGUUCAACAAGUCGGUCGUGAAAACCCGGGGCUCAACCCCGGGACGCCGGUCGAAACUGUUGUGACUAGGGUCCGGUAGAGGUGAGUGGAAUUCUCGGUGUAGCGGUGGAAUGCGCAGAUAUCGAGAGGAACACCAGUAGCGAAGGCGGCUCACUGGGCCGGUACCGACGCUGAGGAGCGAAAGCAUGGGGAGCAAACAGGAUUAGAUACCCUGGUAGUCCAUGCCGUAAACGAUGAACACUAGGUGUGGCGGAUUCAUUGACAUCUGCCGUGCCGUAGCUAACGCAUUAAGUGUUCCGCCUGGGGAGUACGGCCGCAA